Molecule: ribosomal RNA, 497 nt
Filed under: uncultured bacterium
Lineage: Bacteria
Description: partial 16S ribosomal RNA
Rfam family: Bacterial small subunit ribosomal RNA
Source: RNAcentral
GAUGAACGCUGGCGGCGUGCCUAAUACAUGCAAGUCGAGCGAACGGACGAGAAGCUUGCUUCUCUGAUGUUAGCGGCGGACGGGUGAGUAACACGUGGAUAACCUACCUAUAAGACUGGGAUAACUUCGGGAAACCGGAGCUAAUACCGGAUAAUAUUUUGAACCGCAUGGUUCAAAAGUGAAAGACGGUCUUGCUGUCACUUAUAGAUGGAUCCGCGCUGCAUUAGCUAGUUGGUAAGGUAACGGCUUACCAAGGCAACGAUGCAUAGCCGACCUGAGAGGGUGAUCGGCCACACUGGAACUAAGCCACGGUCCAGACUCCUACGGGAGGCAGAAGUAGGGAAUCUGCCGCAAUGGGCGAAAGCCUAACGGAGCAACGCGGCGUGAGUGAUGAAGGUGUUCGGAUCGUAAAACUCUGUUAUUAGGGAAGAACAUAUGUGUAAGUAACUGUGCACAUCUUGACGGUACCUAAUCAGAAAGCCACGGCUAACUACGUG